Long non-coding RNA from Cygnus olor (mute swan), 2835 nucleotides. RefSeq lists it as uncharacterized. The record is from RefSeq and is a predicted model, not a curated record. The transcript is spliced from 4 exons. NCBI's taxonomy places the organism in Eukaryota, Metazoa, Chordata, Aves, Anseriformes, Anatidae.
AUUCACAACCAUUUCCAACAGCUGAAAACCAACACGGUAACGCUAAUUCCCUAACGCAUUUAAUAAUACAUGAACGCUCGUUUGCCCCUAGUUAAGUUCCAGAGGUGAGACAUCUUAUCACCGCCUCCCUCUUACAAGCAGGUCAUGGAAUCUGAGCGCGCAGUGCCCAAAAGCUGGGUCCGAAGAAUACCCGUCUGAGCAGUGCUCAGAAACUUGUGGUGGUUGUUUCUCCUGCAGGGCUGGGAAGAAGGCUGGGCAGGGUGGAGAGGACAGCAUCGCUGCCCUGCUUUCUGAAACUGCUCCCUCCCAGUCUCGUUUAGUCUGGCACCACUGCACAAGGUAUUGAUUGUCAAGGCCAACACAGCGAGAAGUGAAGUUUUCACUCAGCAGGACAGUCUGUCCUUUUUCUAGUGACAGAAGAAUUCAGCGCCUUAACUACUUUUGUUCUUUUAUAUAUACACACGCAGAUAUAAAUUACACCCGUGACAGCAAUAAAACCAUGCUGUAAUCUCCAUACAACUGCCGGCCUAGAGCAGCCGAGCAGAGCAUAAACAGGGUAAGCUAUGCGUGAACAAACUCCAGAUCAAGAUCCGACGCGAGGUGCUUACAGCAGGGUUAAACAACAUUUUUCUACCACACUGAAAAAGGUACGCUGCGAACAUCAAAACCCCCAACAAUCUGUGAUGCCAAAAGGAUUCAGAUUGCCUGCAGGUGACUGAACUACCACUUUCACUUCACAGAAAAAACACCAACAGAGAGAGACAUCACAUAAACACACGCAUGACCUUGGCCAGCCUCAGACUUUGUUUACAGCAAAUAUUUACAAGUUCACUGUUUUGUUGUUGGUGGUGGUGUUUUUUUUAAUUCAAAUUCUUGCCACAAUUCACAGAAGUCACAAAUACAGUUUUCAAGAUUAGCAAGUUUCUGAACGUGUCCUUAUGGUUGAGGGAGGAGAGCGUUAUAAAGCUCAGUUGCAGCUCCUUAGACUUAGGCCUGUCAUAUAAAGCAAUACCUCGCAAGGUUUGCCAGUACUGCCCGUUUCAACCCACAGAUGUGUAAUGAUUUACUCUGUCCCCAAAAUUCUGCUCAGAAUUAAGUCAAGGCUUCCAAAAACUUGUAGAGACAUAGUUAGAUCAUAGCCUUUUGACAGACUAUUCAACAUGUCAACGGAUACAAGUUAUGACUUUGUUUUUUUUAAUUCAGCAGUGACUCAUCACACAGCAAUCUAUUUACUCACUUCCGCUCAGUGGCCUUGAUUAUAAUUGGUCCGAUGUAAUAAAACUGUCCAGUUUGGAGAUAUCAAACUUUGCCUUAACAUACAGAAGAGUUACUGACCCAAGAAAAUCAGUUUGUGAUCAAAGCGUUCCCUUCUCAGGUUUACUUUCAGCCUACCCGGUAAGGCAUUCUAUUUCACCCUACUGGAACCCGUUUUCAAUAAGACCAUCCGGAGCCACAGAGUUGGAAAAACAAAACUAAAAAUCCUGUGAAAUAGGAAAGAGUGACUAGCAAGAACGUCAAGCAGACCAGGAGACUUAACUAUCAGGUUACUUUUCAUUAAUCGGCGGGUCACGCACAACAGGCAUCGCAUUUAUUUGGAAGCAAAGAGUCCCACUACAGACAAAGCCCUGCCGAAGAGCGCGCAGACAGACUGCUGAGCCCUGGCAAAGCCUCCACGAAGCCGAUGGGCUCCAGGAAAUCACAGCAGCAGCUGCAUGAAAACAAGCGACCGAUGCUUUUAAACCAAGCUUUCAAACAGCAGCCUCCAGAACCAGUCCACAAGUCUGUGCUUUUGUUACUCUGGGUAGAAUAAGAGCUUUUAUGCCUGUUAUAAUACAGCAAAUCUAAGACUGAGUUUGUGUGAAAACACGCAUUUCCUUGACCAGCAACAUUGCUCGCUAGCUGAACAUGAGGUAUUUUGUGAGGUGAUUUAUCCACUUAGCGCUGCCAGACCUCCAACCUGAAACGAGGAGCGAGACGUCACGUUACAUCAGACAGACUGCAAUAUUACCUAAGAGACGCAAACGAACAGCACUGAAAAGACAAAAGCACCGUGACUGAAGCGUGAGGACACGACACGGGACGGACCAGUGUGAAAAACAGGUCUGUCGAUAAACAUCUGAGAGCCGCUGCUAACCCGGAGCUCACCCCAGCCUUUUAAGGCUCACGGAGCGGGCUGUACUCACCCAGCGCUGGUCCUAUACGUGUUUAUGGGGCUUUUUCUGCCUAACACAAACCCCACUUUUGGAGAAAGCUUGUUACACCAAUAUGAAUCCUUGAAGAGGGUUUUUUUUACUGCAAAAAGGAAUCUGAAAGCAAGGGGUACACUUGGGGUGUGAGGCCAGAAGAGCUGUGAGCAGGUUUGGGACAGAAGAAAAGUAUUUCUGAUGCCUGAACAGUAUUGGCAGCCAGACCACGCAGAAGGUUUUUAGAUGGUUACCAAAUCUUUUCUGCUGUUAACGUCAAGUGAAUGGGAGUUUCAAAAGGAAAGGAGUCUACAUUAUGUCAUCGACCCGGUAGGAUCAGGUGAAGACGUGAUGGCCUUGGAGUGGUAAGUACUGAUCUUUGAAAACUAACAGAGGAUGAGUGAGACUCCACAAGGCAGGAAAAGUAUUUGGGCUUCUAAUUUACCAAAUGUUUUCCAACUUUGGAAAAAUCAAUGCAAGUUUAUAACUCUCUAUAUAAUGCAGAAUCCGCACCACCAUCCGAGGGCUUAAAAAAGGGAAUGAAGGAAGUCUUGGAGAAUUUUAGAUCAGUCAGCCUUGUUUCUUACAUGACAAAAAUAGAAAAAAAAAUCAAAUUAAAAAAAAAAAAAUCAAAGUAUCUACUUUCAGGUAC